AGUGAACGCUGGCGGUAGGCCUAACACAUGCAAGUCGAACGGCAGCACAGUAAGAUCUUGCUCUUACGGGUGGCGAGUGGCGGACGGGUGAGGAAUACAUCGGAAUCUACUUUUUCGUGGGGGAUAACGUAGGGAAACUUACGCUAAUACCGCAUACGACCUACGGGUGAAAGCAGGGGAUCUUCGGACCUUGCGCGAUUGAAUGAGCCGAUGUCGGAUUAGCUAGUUGGCGGGGUAAAGGCCCACCAAGGCGACGAUCCGUAGCUGGUCUGAGAGGAUGGACGGCAGCAGUGGAACAGAGACACGGUCGAGACGCAUACGGGAGGCAGCAGUAGGGAAUCUUGAGCAAUGGGCGAAAGCGGGAAGGAGCAAUGGCGGGUAAGUGAUGAAGGUCUUCGGAUCGUAAAACUCUGUUAUGAAGGAAGAACAAAAGUGUAAGGAACCCUGCACGUCUUGACCGUACCUAAUCAGAAAGCCACGGCUAACUACGUG
RNAcentral lists this ribosomal RNA (492 nucleotides) under uncultured bacterium. RNAcentral describes it as "partial 16S ribosomal RNA". It matches the Rfam family "Bacterial small subunit ribosomal RNA", at positions 29 to 507 of the family's 1533-position model. The record is from RNAcentral.